RNA transcript from Prunus persica (peach), 3278 nucleotides. It is a transcript of the gene named probable disease resistance protein At5g66900, with no coding region annotated. NCBI's taxonomy places the organism in Eukaryota, Viridiplantae, Streptophyta, Magnoliopsida, Rosales, Rosaceae. The record is from RefSeq and is a predicted model, not a curated record. The transcript is spliced from 5 exons.
UUGGCCAAUACCUGCAGGGUGGUGGGAGAAAAACUUUCCUGGAACGGGGAUGCCAAAGUAAGCAUUCCGCGUCAGUAUUCCCGUAUUCCCGGCCAAUUAACUCCUGACAGCCGUCAACUACUUUUGACACAUCGUAGGGAGGGGGGUUAUUUUUCAGACCAUGGAAUUUUCCUAGAAACGUUGGUGCAAUUUCCCGGUUAAGUUGUAACUUGUAAUUAAGUCUCCUAAUAGAGUCAAUCAUGUUUGAAAUCCUCUUUUAUCUUACCUUGCAUGAUUGCCAACAAAGAAAGAGAAAAAUUUGUAUUGCCAGCUUUUCAGUCUCUGGUUUCCUGUGUUUCUUGGCUUCCAAAUUUAAAGUGUCUCACUUUUCCUUAUUUCCCAAUCUACCAAGAUGCUGUUUUGUGCUCCUGUCUUAAAGUUGAGAUGAAACUCAAACAAGUUUUCUGAUUUGGCGUUGAGUUUUGUUGCUAAGGAUCAAGAAUGGGAGGAGCAGGGGAGCUUAUUGGAGGGGCUGUUCUAGGAACACUUUUUAGUGUGCUGUAUGAACGCCUUGAGAAGCUGAUCAUCAAGAAUUUCAAAUAUAAAAACAUCCUCAACGACUUCAAGUCAAAUUUAGACUCUUUAAAGCCAGUGAUCAACCAGAUAGAAGAAUACAACACGGAAUUGGAUCACCCAGAGCAGGAACUGAAAGACCUAAAAGAAGUGAUGAAGAAGGGCAUAGAGCUCGUCGGCAAGUGCUUUGAGGGUGGUGAGUUUCAGUUCUACGAAAAGAACAAAUAUGCCAACAAACUUGUUCAGUUGGACAAAUCUCUCCAAGCACUUCUACAGAGACUGCAUGUGCAGGGCAUAAGGGAUGUGAAGGAGAGCUCGGUUUCGGUGAGGAACAUAAAGAAGGAGCUCAGCCGAAUUGAACCAAUGCUCAGCCGAAUUGAAUCAAGUUUGGUGUUACAAAAUCAAGCUAAGACUGAAGCUUGGUGUGCAGCACCUGAACUUCGGCUGCUUGUAGUUGGGUUGGAUUUUCCUUUGAAGGAAUUGAAGAGGAAGCUUCUUAAUCUUAAAGAUGGGGUGUCAAUGCUUGUUCUGACUGCUCCUGGAGGAUGUGGCAAGACCACUUUGGCAACAACAUUUUGUCAAGAUCAGGAAGUCAAAGAUACAUUCGGGGACAAUAUCUUCUUUGUCACUGUUUCAAGCAACCCCAACUUGGAACGUAUUGUUCAAGAACUUCAUCUACGCAGGGGUUCCAAAGUACCUACUCUCGGAAACGAAGUAAAUGCAAGUUAAGUGGCCGCACCAUUUUCUCAAGGAACAAGGACAAAAUCCUUUACUGUUGGUCCUGGAUGUUGUUUGGUCUGGAUCAGAAUCCCUUCUGGAGAAGUUUGAUCAAGUUAAAAUGCCAAAUUAUAAGCUUUUGGUGACAUCAAGGUCUGAAUUUCCUAGAUUUGGCUCUUCAUAUCAUUUACAGUCAUUGGAUAAUGACAAUGCAAUGAAACUUUUUCAUCAUUAUGCAUCUUUGGGAGAUAAGAGCUCUGAUAUUCCAGAAGAUCUUUCAAGACAGAUAGUACUAGUAGAGCGUUGUAAGGGAUUUCCACUUGCCAUUAAAGUGCUUGGGGGAUCACUUUGCAGACAGCCUAUAGAGAUCUGGACACAGAGAUUAAAUGAAUGGUCUAGAGGUUCUACUGUUCAUGAUUCAGAUGGUGAGUUGCGAUUUUGGCUCCAAAGCAGCUUCGAAGCAUAGGAUAAAGAAAUGCCUAUUAUUAAGGAAUGUUUCUUAGAACUGGGUUUGUUUCCCGAAGACCAAAGAAUCCCUGCUGCUGCCCUCAUUGAUAUAUGGACAGAGUAUUAUGAUCUAGAUGAAGAUGCAGAGUGCAUUGCAAACCUCUACAAGCUCUCAUACCGAAGUCUCGCAAAUCUUGUAGUCAUAAGGAAGGAAAAGGUGGAGAAGGUGGAGAAGGUGGAGAAGGAGGAGGGGAAUCAGUACUACAGUGAACACUUUGUUACCCAACAUGAUAUUCUUAGAGAGCUGGCUAUCUACUACUCAAAACAAGAACCAGUAGAACAGAGGACAAGGCUGAUUAUCGACAAAUGUGGUAACAAACUUCCCAGUUGGUGGAGAGAACAGAAGCAUCAACCGAUGAAGGCCCGCCUAUUAUCUAUCUCAACAACUGACAGACUGUUUCCAAAAGAACUGCAAAACAUGCAAGUACCAGACGUUGAGGUUCUAGUCUUGAAUUUCCAGACAAACAACUAUGCCUUACCCAAAUCUGUGGAGAACAUGGAUAAAUUGAGGGCUUUAAUAGUCACAAAUUCUGUCUCACCUGCUGAGUUGAGCAACUUUCAACUUCUGAGUUCGUUAUCGAAUUUAAAGAGAAUCAGAUUAGAACGCAUCUCAAUUCUUUCCAUAACCAAGAACCCCAUAGAAUUGAAGUCUGCAGAAGAUAUCCUUGUUCAUGUGUAAUAUCGGUCAAGCUUUCAGCAACUGCUCCAUCCCAAUCUCAUCAGCAUUCCCGAAUCUAGAGGAAAUCAACAUUGACUAUUGCGAUGAUCUGGUGGAAUUGCCUGCCGACCUCAGUGAUCUUAUUCAACUAAAGAAGCUCAGCGUCACCAACUGUCAUAAGCUAUCUGCCUUGCCUGAAGAGAUUGGGAAGCUGGUCAACUUAGAAGUAUUGAGGCUAAGGUGCUGCACAGACUUGGUAAAACUUCCAGGCUCCAUUAAGUACCUCACUAGGUUACACUUUCUUGACAUAUAUAAAUGUUUCAGCAUUAAGGAAUUUCCUGAAAAGAUUGGUGAAUUGAGUGGUUUAGAAACAAUCAACAUGGGACAAUGCUCAAGAUUGCAAGAGUUGCCUGUAUCAGUUUUGAAUCUUGGGAAGUUACAAGAAGUGAUAUGCGAUGAAGAGACAGAAAUAUUAUGGGGGGAACUUUUCAAAUCCCAUCUCACAAGGAUAUCGGUGGUAAAAGAAGACUUCAACCUGCAUUGACUCCACAAAUUUUGAGAGCUGACUGUCCUUAAUAAACGUAUGUUGGGGCAAUGUCUGUGUGAUUUGUGUAUCAAUUUUUCAUUUUCCUAGUUUUCUUCUCUUUUGUGGUGUUUAUUUCUCAUUUGCCUUUGUAUGAGAUAUUUUUGCAUAGUAAAAACAGUUUGAAUGAGAGGAUUUGGAUUUACCACCAUAUAGUAGAGAUUUAAUUUCUUAUGAGGAAGGACAGAGGAGAGCAGGGGCUACCCUUCCUUGUGCGAAAGAAGUAUACAGUAAAGAAGACAAUAGUCUAUCAUUCUUCUU